GGUUGUUCCUGUUGGGUAGCAACUUCACCAGCUUCUUGUUGUUGUUGUCAUGGUUGUUCCUGUUGGGUAGCAACUUCACCAGCUUGUUGUUGUUGUCAGGUUGUUCCUGUUGGGUAGCAAC
Non-coding RNA from Salvelinus sp. IW2-2015, 121 nucleotides. The record is from RefSeq and is a predicted model, not a curated record. Lineage: Eukaryota; Metazoa; Chordata; Actinopteri; Salmoniformes; Salmonidae.